UGAGAAAUCUGCCCUUCUCUUUGGAAUAAGCGUUGGAAACGACGUCUAAUGCCGAAUACGACCUCCUUUCGCAUGAUCGGAGGUGGAAAGCUCCGGCGGAGAAGGAUGAGCUCGCGGCCUAUCAGCUAGUUGGUGUGGGUAAUGGCCCACCAAGGCGACGACGGGUAGCCGGCCUGAGAGGGUGACCGGCCACACUGGGACUGAGACACGGCCCAGACUCCUACGGGAGGCAGCAGG
This 237-nucleotide ribosomal RNA is filed under the name uncultured bacterium. RNAcentral describes it as "partial 16S ribosomal RNA". It matches the Rfam family "Bacterial small subunit ribosomal RNA", at positions 118 to 354 of the family's 1533-position model. The record is from RNAcentral.